GCACCUGCUUGUUCCUGUUCCUCGCUGUGCAGUGCAGGGCUGGGGACACUCAGUGCUACAGCACAGCAGUGGAAAUCCAGAUGGGUUCUUUUCCACUGUUGGGACUCAUCUCUACACCUCUGCAACAGCA
This 130-nucleotide small nucleolar RNA is filed under the name Malurus cyaneus samueli. RNAcentral describes it as "Small nucleolar RNA SNORA55 (ENSMCSG00000014073.1)". It matches the Rfam family "Small nucleolar RNA SNORA55". Rfam says of the family: ACA55 is a member of the H/ACA class of snoRNA that guide the sites of modification of uridines to pseudouridines. The record is from Rfam by way of RNAcentral. Lineage: Eukaryota; Metazoa; Chordata; Aves; Passeriformes; Maluridae.